GCUGUCACAUCCCUGCCAAUCUCCGGCAGACUCUCCCUCCCAGACCCUCCUACUUCCUGGACAGCAUCCAUGUUGAAGGCAGCUUCAACAUGGAUGCUGUCCAGGAGGUGGGAGGGUCUUGGAGGGAGGGUCUGCCGGAGAUUGGCAGGGAUGUGUCAG
Molecule: non-coding RNA, 159 nt
Organism: Pelobates cultripes (western spadefoot toad)
Lineage: Eukaryota; Metazoa; Chordata; Amphibia; Anura; Pelobatidae
Source: the annotation of a GenBank genome assembly